CUUUUUAUCUUACCUGGCCCAAAGGGCCAAGUGAGCUUUUCCCAUCACUUGGCGUCCGUCGUCUGUCGUCCGGCGUCGUUAACUUUUACAAAAAUCUUCUCCUCUGAAACUACUGGGCCAAAUUACACCAAACUUGGCCAAAAUCAUCAUUGGGGUAUCUAGUUUAAAAAAUGUGUCCGGUGACCCGGCCAACCAUCCAAGAUGGCCGCCAUGGCUAAAAAUAGAACAUGGGGGUAAAAUGCAGUUUUUGGCUUAUAACUCAAAAACCAAAGCAUUUAGAGCAAAUCUGACAGGGG
Molecule: long non-coding RNA, 296 nt
Filed under: Mytilus galloprovincialis (Mediterranean mussel)
Lineage: Eukaryota; Metazoa; Mollusca; Bivalvia; Mytilida; Mytilidae
Source: RNAcentral